This 342-nucleotide long non-coding RNA is filed under the name Lupinus angustifolius (narrow-leaved blue lupine). RNAcentral describes it as "long non-coding RNA (LANG_LNC000424)". The record is from RNAcentral. Lineage: Eukaryota; Viridiplantae; Streptophyta; Magnoliopsida; Fabales; Fabaceae.
UUAUUACUACUUUAAUUCUAGUUCUAAUAUAAUUCCUAGUACAAUUUGUGUUAAUGUGCAAGCAAACAGUUGCAUGCAAAGUUGCAUUUUGUUUUAAUGUGCCACAUAUUUCCUUUCCAGCUAGCUUUAGCAAAGAUGUUAGAAAGGAAAAAAUAACUUCAACUUUUUUGGUUUCACAUUUGUUCUUACAAUGCACUAAAAAUAAACUAAAACAACCGUGGUGAUUAACAAGGGAGAAUAUUGUGCUAUAUUUAGUUAGUGAUCCGCAAAUGAAGACUUUGCAAAAGAAAUAUAUAGCAGCUAUUAUGAUUUAUGCUGAUUUGUCAAAAAACCUACCACCAA